Molecule: long non-coding RNA, 501 nt
Organism: Daphnia magna
Lineage: Eukaryota; Metazoa; Arthropoda; Branchiopoda; Diplostraca; Daphniidae
Exons: 2
Source: RefSeq, a predicted model, not a curated record
UCUGGAUUUCCGCUGUUGAUAAACAUAAAAUGUUUUACAAGCAGCACAGUGGUCCGUAAGGCUUGCCAAAUCGACACUGGCAAAGUGCGCAAGGCUCGUUUUGCGGCGUUCGUUCCGGACAGUCAUAUCUGCACGAACCUGGGCAGCUCCCUAAUACUGUGUAAUUCAAUCACAUAAUUAAAUGGAUGACAUAAAGAAUCAGUAAGAAUCGCACGAGGCUACGGAAAGGAUCAAACGUUUUCCGUGGAUAACACGCAAAGUGAACGAAAGAGGAAUACUGUACUUACGUUCAGCCACGGUGUGAACAGCCAUCAAUGUCACGAUAACAAACAGAAGCUACCCGGAACCGGAAACGCGGUGGAUGGCGGUUAGAAAUGGUGAAAAAUGUUAGCGGUUUUGUUUAUGCACCAACUUCGGUAUCAAGUAUUUCAUUACCAUUACGAGUUGACGAUGCAUUUUUUUUUCAAAUAUCGAGAAAGAAUGUCUGCGUUCGUAUCCUAC